RNAcentral lists this ribosomal RNA (253 nucleotides) under uncultured bacterium. RNAcentral describes it as "partial 16S ribosomal RNA". It matches the Rfam family "Bacterial small subunit ribosomal RNA", at positions 524 to 776 of the family's 1533-position model. The record is from RNAcentral.
UACGUAGGGGGCAAGCGUUGUCCGGAAUCAUUGGGCGUAAAGAGCGCGUAGGCGGUCCGGUAAGUCCGCUCUGAAAGUCCGGGGCUCAACCCCGGGAGGCGGGCGGAUACUGUCGGGCUAGAGUCCGGAAGAGGCGAGUGGAAUUCCUGGUGUAGCGGUGAAAUGCGCAGAUAUCAGGAGGAACACCAAUGGCGAAGGCAGCUCGCUGGGACGGUACUGACGCUGAGGUGCGAAAGCUAGGGGAGCAAACGGG